AAAGCUUUAGCUUAAUUAAAGUGUCUGUUUUGCAUACAGGAGAUGUGAGCUAAUAUCUUGCAAGUUUUA
Molecule: transfer RNA, 69 nt
Filed under: Capros aper (boarfish)
Lineage: Eukaryota; Metazoa; Chordata; Actinopteri; Caproiformes; Caproidae
Description: tRNA-Ala
Rfam family: tRNA
About the family: Transfer RNA (tRNA) molecules are approximately 80 nucleotides in length.
Source: RNAcentral